AAAUCAAAUGCUUUGUAAAAUUGAUUAUGACGUCAUAAAACUGAAUGAAGGUUAAUUAAAAACUAAUGAAAGCCUAGACCAGAACUUUAAAAAAGUUGAUUGUUGUAAACUUGUUUGCGGUUGUUUGACAUUGGUCAGACAAAAAGUUACAGAAAUACAUUUGUGUAAGCGUGCAGCAGGACUCUCGAAUUGCUCAUUAAUAAAGAACUGGCGUUUCGUUGCUGUGCCAUUGUCACUUUUCACAAUCAUGGAUUUGCAACAUGCAGGAUGGGUCAAUGCGAAAGAGAGAUUUGAAGAUCAUUGAAUGCGGACAACUAAGAUUAUGAAAGCCAAACCAAUCAGGGAGGAAAAGUGUACUCGCGUUUGAUGAAUGCCUUUACAGAUGAAUACAGAAGAUGAUACAGACGUGUUCAGCGAUUACUUGAUUUAUUUUGGCAGUGACCCUGAUGAUCAAGAAGUUGUCAGAAAAGUGAAAGUGCUCAUAUCCAAUUAUAAUUAUGUGCGUGACAUAAUGAAGCUUUGUCUACUUGAAACUCUUUUAGUACAUUUACGCACAAACUACACACUAUAUAUAUAGCAUCCACACCACACACACACAGUUACACAUACUUAACAUACAUUCUCACUAUAGAAAUAUUAGGUGUAUAAUUCGAAUUAUCUCUGAGGGGAUGGAUGCUGGUUUUUGGUUCUAUCCUUUUUUUGAUUUUUUUGCAUUGACAAUUUGGUCAUCUUCAUAGGUUUUGUUUCUGUAUUUAUUCCUUCAAUUGUUUUUGGAAGUUGAGCAAACAUUUCUUGUUUUUUUUAACAUCAUUUUCUAUGUUAUCCAUAAAACAUUUCAUAUAAUUUACGGGGCUGGUAUGUACGAAAUGUUUGAUUGCCCCUUUUAUGGAACCUUAAGCCCCUUCAUUUAGGCACUGUCAAAUUAGUCUCGCUUUAUAUUCGUCCUUCUCUUUACUGUGAUGUAAUAAGUGACUUAUCACCCCACCCCCACGCUUUACGGCCUUCAAUAAAUUUAGUUGCCACGAGGUAGAUGCUCGUUGCACAAUGCUGAUCAAAGAGUUUGCUGUGCAAUUGUAUAUUUUAUUAAUGAUGGGUUUUCCUAUUCCGUGUUUGACUUAUGCCAUACUUUGCAAAAUGAAUAUAAAGAGAGAAUUUUAUAAUUAGAAUAUUGUUAGGUUUAUUCAUAUAUUAUCCGAAUAGGUUUUGAGGAUUGCUGUAAUUUAUGCAAUGUUAAAUUUAUCAUUGUCUUAUUUUGUAUCAUUGCGUAGAGAUAGCAUACUCGCGGCUGUUCUUUGAGUCCUUG
Molecule: long non-coding RNA, 1303 nt
Organism: Styela clava
Lineage: Eukaryota; Metazoa; Chordata; Ascidiacea; Stolidobranchia; Styelidae
Source: RefSeq, a predicted model, not a curated record